UACGUAGGGUGCAAGCGUUACUCGGAAUUACUGGGCGUAAAGCGUGCGCAGGCGGUUUUGUAAGUCUGUCGUGAAAUCCCCGGGCUUAACCUGGGAAUGGCGAUGGAGACUGCAAGGCUAGAGUUUGGCAGAGGGGGGUAGAAUUCCACGUGUAGCAGUGAAAUGCGUAGAUAUGUGGAGGAAUACCGAUGGCGAAGGCAGCCCCCUGGGAUAACACUGACGCUCAGGCACGAAAGCGUGGGGAGCAAACAGG
This 253-nucleotide ribosomal RNA is filed under the name uncultured bacterium. RNAcentral describes it as "partial 16S ribosomal RNA". It matches the Rfam family "Bacterial small subunit ribosomal RNA", at positions 524 to 776 of the family's 1533-position model. The record is from RNAcentral.